UAACCUGCUAAAUAGUUACGUGAACUUUUGUUUGCGGUUAACUUCUUAGAGGGACUGUCUGUGUCUAACAGACGGAAGUUUGAGGCAAUAACAGGUCUGUGAUGCCCUUAGAUGUUCUGGGCUGCACGCGCGCUACACUGACGAAGCCAGCGAGUAUAUAACCUUGGCCGAAAGGUCCGGGUAAUCUUGUGAAACUUCGUCGUGCUGGGGAUAGACCAUUGCAAUUAUUGGUCUUCAACGAGGAAUUCCUAGUAAGCGCGAGUCAUCAGCUCGCGUUGAUUACGUCCCUGCCCUUCGUACACACCGCCCGUCGCUACUACCGAUUGAAUGGCUUAGUGAGACCCUCGAAUUGAUUUCUACAGUGGGCAACCACAGUGGUUAUUGAGAAGUUGGU
Molecule: ribosomal RNA, 394 nt
Filed under: uncultured fungus
Lineage: Eukaryota; Fungi
Description: bacterial SSU rRNA
Rfam family: Eukaryotic small subunit ribosomal RNA
Source: RNAcentral